Molecule: unclassified non-coding RNA, 300 nt
Filed under: uncultured Hydnodontaceae
Lineage: Eukaryota; Fungi; Basidiomycota; Agaricomycetes; Trechisporales; Hydnodontaceae
Description: sequence contains 5.8S rRNA gene, ITS2
Rfam family: 5.8S ribosomal RNA (bases 1-71)
Source: RNAcentral
GUGAAUCAUCGAAUCUUUGAACGCACCUUGCGCUCCUUGGUAUUCCGAGGAGCAUGCCUGUUUGAGUGUCUUGAAAUCAUCAAACCCCUCUGGUUUCUGCUGGNGCGGGUUUGGACUUGGGGGUUUUGCUGCCUCUGGUGGCUCCCCUUAAAUGAAUCGGUCGGGCUUUCGUGUGGCUUGUCCCUUGGCGUUGUAUCGACCUCGUCGCUGGAUGGCUCGCGAGUUUAGCGCCCCUCCAAGACCAGCCUCUGGAGUGGCGGUCAACUUCAAUUUGUGAUCUGACCUCAAAUCAGGUAGGAC